Molecule: ribosomal RNA, 460 nt
Filed under: uncultured bacterium
Lineage: Bacteria
Description: partial 16S ribosomal RNA
Rfam family: Bacterial small subunit ribosomal RNA
Source: RNAcentral
CCUACGGGAUGCAGCAGUGAGGAAUAUUGGUCAAUGGACGAGAGUCUGAACCAGCCAAGUAGCGUGAAGGAUGACUGCCCUAUGGAUUGUAAACUUCUUUUAUAUGGGAAUAAAAUGUUCCACGUGUGGGAUUUUGUAUGUCCCAUAUGAAUAAGGCUCGGCUAACUCCGUGCCAGCAGCCGCGGUAAUACGGAGGAUCCGAGCGUUAUCCGGAUUUAUUGGGUUUAAAGGGUGCGUAGGUGGAUUGUUAAGUCAGUUGUGAAAGUUUGCGGCUCAACCGUAAAAUUGCAGUUGAAACUGGCAGUCUUGAGUACAGUAGAGGUGGGCGGAAUUCGUGGUGUAGCGGUGAAAUGCUUAGAUAUCACGAAGAACUCCGAUUGCGAAGGCAGUUCACUGGACUGCAACUGACACUGAGGCUCGAAAGUGUGGGUAUCAAACAGGAUUAGAUACCCGAGUAGUC